This 253-nucleotide ribosomal RNA is filed under the name uncultured bacterium. RNAcentral's name for it is "partial 16S ribosomal RNA". It matches the Rfam family "Bacterial small subunit ribosomal RNA", at positions 524 to 776 of the family's 1533-position model. The record is from RNAcentral.
UACAGAGGUCCCAAGCGUUGUUCGGAUUCACUGGGCGUAAAGGGUGCGUAGGUGGUGGGGUAAGGCGGAUGUGAAAGCUCGGAGCUCAACUCCGAAAUGGCAUUGGAAACUACCCUGCUAGAGGAUUGGAGGGGGGACUGGAAUACUUGGUGUAGCAGUGAAAUGCGUAGAUAUCAAGUGGAACACCAGUGGCGAAGGCGAGUCCCUGGACAAUACCUGACACUGAGGCACGAAAGCUAGGGGAGCAAACAGG